This 267-nucleotide long non-coding RNA is filed under the name Mytilus galloprovincialis (Mediterranean mussel). The record is from RNAcentral. Lineage: Eukaryota; Metazoa; Mollusca; Bivalvia; Mytilida; Mytilidae.
AUAUAUUGUGCGCACAACUUAAACAUAUUGUGCGCACAAUAUGAUAUGGUGUGCGCCCAAAAUUAGGACAACAGUUUUCACUUGACCAUGAACUCAUUUUAUUGAUCAUUCAACGAGGUUAAAUGUUCGUGGUUUAGACGAAAUCUCAGAUACCAAAUGCAAUAGUUCUUCUAUAUUUGGUUGUAUAAAACGAUUUUAAUGUCUAAAUGUCAACUUGACAUGUGUCAUCUGACCUUGACCUCAUUUCCAGGGUAAAGCGGUCCGGCA